CGCUUGUNNNNCAAAAACAUGUCUUUUUGAUUAUAAUAUAAAGUCUAACCUGCCCACUGAUAAUUUAUUAAAUGGCCGCGGUAUAUUGACUGUGCAAAGGUAGCAUAAUCAUUUGUCUCUUAAUUGGAGGCUGGAAUGAAUGGUUUAAUGAAAUAUUAACUGUCUCAUUUUUAAAAUUAUAAAAACUUAGCUUUUAAGUUAAAAGGCUUAAAUAUAUUUAAAGGACGAGAAGACCCUAUAGAUCUUUAUAAUUUAAUUAUUUUUAUUAAUUAGAAAAAUAUAAAAUAAAAUUAUUUAAAUUAUUUUAUUGGGGUGAUAGGAAAAUUUAUUGAACUUUUUUUAUUUUAAAACAUUGAUUUAUGAUUAAUUGAUCCAUUUUUUAUGAUUAUAAGAUUAAGUUACCUUAGGGAUAACAGCGUAAUUUUUUUAAAGAGUUCAUAUCGAUAAAAAAGAUUGCGACCUCGAUGUUGAAUUAAAGGUUAUUUCUAGAUGAAGAAGUUUAGAGUUUAGGUCUGUUCGACCUUUAAAUCUUUACAUGAUCUGANNNNNAAACCGGA
This 557-nucleotide ribosomal RNA is filed under the name Glenochrysa conradina. Its description in RNAcentral is "partial large subunit ribosomal RNA". It matches the Rfam family "Bacterial large subunit ribosomal RNA", at positions 1797 to 2621 of the family's 2925-position model. The record is from RNAcentral. Lineage: Eukaryota; Metazoa; Arthropoda; Insecta; Neuroptera; Chrysopidae.